RNAcentral lists this ribosomal RNA (207 nucleotides) under uncultured bacterium. RNAcentral's name for it is "partial 16S ribosomal RNA". It matches the Rfam family "Bacterial small subunit ribosomal RNA", at positions 568 to 774 of the family's 1533-position model. The record is from RNAcentral.
CGUCUAGGCGGGGAAUUAAGUUAGGUGUGAAAUCCCUGGGCUCAACCCAGGAACUGCAUCUAAAACUGGUUCUCUUGAGUUCGGGAGAGGAGAGCGGAAUUCCCGGUGUAGCGGUGAAAUGCGUAGAUAUCGGGAAGAACACCAGUGGCGAAGGCGGCUCUCUGGCCUAGAACUGACGCUGAAGCGCGAAAGCGUGGGGAGCAAACA